UGGGGAAUAUUGGACAAUGGGCGCAAGCCUGAUCCAGCCAUGCCGCGUGGGUGAUGAAGGCCUUAGGGUUGUAAAGCCCUUUCGGCGGGGAAGAUAAUGACGGUACCCGCAGAAGAAGCCCCGGCUAACUUCGUGCCAGCAGCCGCGGUAAUACGAAGGGGGCUAGCGUUGCUCGGAAUCACUGGGCGUAAAGCGCACGUAGGCGGCUUUUUAAGUCAGAGGUGAAAUCCUGGAGCUCAACUCCAGAACUGCCUUUGAUACUGGAGAGCUUGAGUCCGGGAGAGGUGAGUGGAACUGCGAGUGUAGAGGUGAAAUUCGUAGAUAUUCGCAAGAACACCAGUGGCGAAGGCGGCUCACUGGCCCGGUACUGACGCUGAGGUGCGAAAGCGUGGGGAGCAAACAGG
RNAcentral lists this ribosomal RNA (404 nucleotides) under Bacillota bacterium. Its description in RNAcentral is "Firmicutes bacterium partial 16S ribosomal RNA". It matches the Rfam family "Bacterial small subunit ribosomal RNA", at positions 355 to 776 of the family's 1533-position model. The record is from RNAcentral. Lineage: Bacteria; Bacillati; Bacillota.